Lagopus muta (rock ptarmigan) is the source of this 1060-nucleotide long non-coding RNA. RefSeq lists it as uncharacterized. The transcript is spliced from 3 exons. The record is from RefSeq and is a predicted model, not a curated record. Lineage: Eukaryota; Metazoa; Chordata; Aves; Galliformes; Phasianidae.
CCCCAGGUGCUCAGUCAGUGGUUCAGGCUGUGACUCAGGAAUUCCCCUACAGAUGCAUUUACACAUUCUGUUUUCUGAACACUGUCUUGCCUCCAAAAUGCAGUGUCCCUCCUUCUGCAAGGACAUUUCCUUGGAAUGGCAGCUGUGGCUGAACUGCCAAAGCUGACUGACAGCUGGUCCUAGCCUUGAACCAAAAGAACUGCUUCCAGGAAAAGCAUCCUGUUCUGAGAAAUCACAUUCCAAAGCUCAUGAAGAAUUGUGUGUGAGAAUCUCACACUGAGGCAUAUGACAUUUCUUGGCGUUACCGAUCUGUUUUCUGAAGUUCAACAUGUCCAAAAUCUUCCAUUUUAUGGAUUCAUUCUUUUACUGUAUUUGUGGAGGAAAGGAUGUUGCAGGAUGUGUGACAAGGACUUUGCCACUCCACUGGAUCAGAGGAAUCAAUCCUAGAGCUGUCUUAGAAUAGCUUGCUUGUCUGCAUUCAUCAUCUAUCUUUCAACAAUCAGCAGAAAAGAGAAGAAGCCGAGUAAUGCUGCUGGUUAGAAGUUUUCUUUACUGUUCAGUGAAAACAAGCACAUAGCCCAAAGCCAGCUGAGAGGUCUGAGAAGAGUGAAUACAGUCUGCAAAACUGUAGGUUCAAAAAAAAGAAAAGUGACAGCAUAAUUUUUACAGCCCUGAGAAGUAAUUUAAUAAAGGUAUUGUGUGUCUUGCAUGUCUUUUGUCUUUCUUUCAAUGAAGCUUCCCCAAGUACUUCACAAAUACUUUCUUUAGCUGGGGAAUUUGACACUAUUGUUUAAUACAAUGAUGUGCUUGCAACACUGGAAAGUAAUGUUUUUCUACAAGGAAGGGAUUUUUUUUGCAUGGCUGUGUUUUCACUUUUUGCUGUGAGUGAGGUGAUCUAUACCCAGGUCAAUGCUUUGGAAUGCUUUUAAAACAUGUUUAAAUAAAAAAAAAGAAAGAAAGAAACAAAACCCCAUCUUCUACAUUUCCUAUAUAGCAGAUCCCUUUUACUCCUUUGCAAAAUGCCAGGAGCCUAAACAAAAGGCUACCUAUAAACAGAACU